Molecule: ribosomal RNA, 676 nt
Filed under: uncultured Vibrionaceae bacterium
Lineage: Bacteria; Pseudomonadati; Pseudomonadota; Gammaproteobacteria; Vibrionales; Vibrionaceae
Description: bacterial SSU rRNA
Rfam family: Bacterial small subunit ribosomal RNA
Source: RNAcentral
AGAGUUUGAUCAUGGCUCAGAUUGAACGCUGGCGGCAGGCCUAACACAUGCAAGUCGAGCGGUAACAGAAAGAAAGCUUGCUUUCUUUGCUGACGAGCGGCGGACGGGUGAGUAAUGCCUGGGAAUAUACCCUGAUGUGGGGGAUAACUAUUGGAAACGAUAGCUAAUACCGCAUAAUCUCUUCGGAGCAAAGAGGGGGACCUUCGGGCCUCUCGCGUCAGGAUUAGCCCAGGUGGGAUUAGCUAGUUGGUGGGGUAAUGGCUCACCAAGGCAACGAUCCCUAGCUGGUCUGAGAGGAUGAUCAGCCACACUGGAACUGAGACACGGUCCAGACUCCUACGGGAGGCAGCAGUGGGGAAUAUUGCACAAUGGGGGAAACCCUGAUGCAGCCAUGCCGCGUGUAUGAAGAAGGCCUUCGGGUUGUAAAGUACUUUCAGUUGUGAGGAAGGCAGUUAAGUUAAUAGCUUUGCUGUUUGACGUUAGCAACAGAAGAAGCACCGGCUAACUCCGUGCCAGCAGCCGCGGUAAUACGGAGGGUGCGAGCGUUAAUCGGAAUUACUGGGCGUAAAGCGCAUGCAGGCGGUCUGUUAAGCAAGAUGUGAAAGCCCGGGGCUCAACCUCGGAACAGCAUUUUGAACUGGCAGACUAGAGUCCUGUAGAGGGGGGUAGAAUUUCA